RNAcentral lists this ribosomal RNA (942 nucleotides) under Triticum aestivum (bread wheat). RNAcentral describes it as "partial small subunit ribosomal RNA". Lineage: Eukaryota; Viridiplantae; Streptophyta; Magnoliopsida; Poales; Poaceae. The record is from RNAcentral.
AUGGCAGCACGGAGGCACCGGAUGGCGGGCAAGGGUGAAGGCACAUCGCCUUGGGGCUGCUGUGCUCCACGGCCGGCAUCGGCAUGGCCUCUCCUCCGUCGCUGGUGCUGGAGCUGGAAGCAAGCGCCACCGGGUCAGGUGAGGUCAGGUCAGCUUCCAUCCCUUACCGCCCGCAUGCCCGCCAUGUGCUUGUGCUUAUGCUCGAGAGCCCGCCCUGUCGCGCCCUUGUCCAUCCCUGCAUCCGGCCACAGGAUGGCCGAGACCGCCCUAGGCGCCGCACAAUGGGUGGUGAGCAAGGCGCUAGCCCCCGUCGCGGAUGGCGUGCUGGAGGCUUGGGCGGCCACCAGGACAUUUGGCCUCAACAUUCAGGCCCUCAAAACUGAACUGGAGAAGGUGCAGGCCACGCUCGAAAUAGCUGCCACCAAGGAGCUCCCCGGGAUGGCCACGGAGAAGAUGCUGCAGAAGCUGUGGGACUCGGCGCACAAUGCCGAGGACUUGCUGGACGAGCUGGACUACUUCCGCAUCCACGACGAGCUCCACGGCACGUACGCCGCCGCCGACCAGCACGGCAACGAUGUCCUCCGUGACCUCGCGUGUGAUGCUCGCCACACCAUCAAAGCUUUUGGCAAACUGGUCAACUGUUUCCCAUGGCAGCAUGCUGAGCUCCACCAGAGGUCACAUGGCAAUUCGUUCUCAGCAUCACAAGCCAACCAGGAGGCCAGCAGAUGCAUGUCCAGCCUAGGUAAACUGCUCCUUUCCUCAUGUUCCCCACAUCCACAUGUUCGUGGUGAUGAAGAUCAUGGCAAUAUGCAAGAAACACCGAUGCCUGAGUUUAACAAGGCUGAUUUCUCCCAAAGGAUGAAGGACACUGUAGAACAACUAAAGCUCAUGCGUGAUGAUGUUAAGGAUAUUCUGCAGACUUUGGCCACAGAACUGUCCUAG